CAUGCAAGUCGAACGAUGAUGCUGGUGCUUGCACUGGUGGAUUAGUGGCGAACGGGUGAGUAACACGUGAGUAACCUGCCCCUGACUUCGGGAUAAGCCCGGGAAACUGGGUCUAAUACCGGAUAUGACUUCCUGCUGCAUGGCAGGGGGUGGAAAGAUUUAUCGGUUGGGGAUGGACUCGCGGCCUAUCAGCUUGUUGGUGAGGUAAUGGCUCACCAAGGCGACGACGGGUAGCCGGCCUGAGAGGGUGACCGGCCACACUGGGACUGAGACACGGCCCAGACUCCUACGGGAGGCAGCAGUGGGGAAUAUUGCACAAUGGGCGAAAGCCUGAUGCAGCGACGCCGCGUGAGGGAUGACGGCCUUCGGGUUGUAAACCUCUUUCAGUAGGGAAGAAGCCCCUUUUUGGGGGUGACGGUACUUGCAAAAAAAGCGCCGGCUAACUACGUGCCAGCAGCCGCGGUAAUACGUAGGGCGCAAGCGUUAUCCGGAAUUAUUGGGCGUAAAGAGCUCGUAGGCGGUUUGUCGCGUCUGCCGUGAAAGUCCGAGGCUCAACCUCGGAUCUGCGGUGGGUACGGGCAGACUAGAGUGAUGURGGGGAGACUGGAAUUCCUGGUGUAGCGGUGAAAUGCGCAAAUAUCAGGAGGAACACCGAUGGCGAAGGCGGGUCUCUGGGCAUUUACUGACUCUGAGGAGCGAAAGCAUGGGGAGCGAACAGGAUUA
RNAcentral lists this ribosomal RNA (723 nucleotides) under Glutamicibacter creatinolyticus. RNAcentral's name for it is "bacterial SSU rRNA". It matches the Rfam family "Bacterial small subunit ribosomal RNA", at positions 54 to 780 of the family's 1533-position model. Lineage: Bacteria; Bacillati; Actinomycetota; Actinomycetes; Micrococcales; Micrococcaceae. The record is from RNAcentral.